UCAAGUUUUUAAGAGCUAUUGGUGGAUGCCUUGGCAUUAGUAGGCGACGAAGGACGUGUUACCUGCGAUAAGCCUCGGGGAGCUGGUAAACGCUUUGAUCCGAGGGAUUCCGAAUGGGGAAACCCGAUAGAAGUAAUAUUCUGUCAUCUACUUCUGAAUACAUAGGGAGUAGAAGUUAUACGUGCUGAAUUGAGACAUCUUAGUAAGCACAGGAAGAGAAAUCAAACCGAGAUUCUCUGAGUAGCGGCGAGCGAAAAGGGAAUAGCCCAAACCGUAAAUUUAUUUGCGGGGUUGUAGGGCCAUCAACAUGUAUUGCAAUUCUUAGCAGAACCUUCUGGAAAGUUGGACAACAUAGGGUGAUAGUCCCGUAUGCGAAAAGAAGAGCAAGCUAGAUGGUACCUGAGUAGGUCCGGACACGUGAAACCCGGUCUGAAUCUGGGGGGACCACCCUCCAAGGCUAAAUACUCACUAAUGACCGAUAGUGAACAAGUACCGUGAGGGAAAGGCGAAAAGAACCCCUGUUAGGGGAGUGAAAUAGAACCUGAAACCAGUAGCUUACAAGCGGUCAGAGGCCUAUGCCCUCUUUGAGGGAAUGGCUGAUGGCGUGCCUUUUGCAUGAUGAGCCAGCGAGUUAUGUUGUUUAGGCAAGGUUAAGGGACGUACGUUCCGGAGCCGUAGCGAAAGCGAGUGUGAAUAGCGCGAUUAGUCUUACGACAUAGACACGAAACCAAGUGAUCUAUCCAUGGCCAGGCUGAAGCAAGGGUAAAACCUUGUGGAGGGCCGCACUAGUUCCUGUUGAAAAAGGUUUAGAUGAGCUGUGGAUAGGGGUGAAAGGCCAAUCAAACUUGGAAAUAUCUUGUUCUCUCCGAAAUAACUUAAGGGUUAGCCUCAACUAUAUGCCUAUUAGGGGUAGAGCACUGGAUCCACGCGGGGGUGGCAACACCUACCAAAGGGAACCAAACUCCGAAUACUGAUAGGUUGGUUGGGAGAUAGACAGUGGGGGAUAAGCUUCAUUGUCGAGAGGGGAACAGCCCAGAUCGUCGAUUAAGGCCCCAAAUUCUAUGCUAAGUGGGUAAGGAAGUAAAGUUUCAAAGACAGUUGGGAUGUUGGCUUAGAGGCAGCAACCAUUUAAAGAGUGCGUAACAGCUCACCAAUCGAGAAGCUUUGCGCCGAUAAUAUAUGGGACUCAAGCAUAGAGCCGAAAUCACGGGUUUGCAUGUAAAUGCAAGCGGUAGGAGAGCGUAGUAUGUGCAUCGAAGGUAUACCGUAAGGAGUGCUGGAGCGCAUACUAGUGAGGAUGCAUGGCAUAAGUAACGAUAAAGGAGGUGAGAAUCCUCCUCGCCGAAAACCUAAGGUUUCCAGGGUAAAGCUCGUCUUCCCUGGGUUAGCCGGCCCCUAAGCCGAGGCAGAAAUGCGUAGGCGAUGGGAAACAGGUUAAAUAUUCCUGUGCCACCUAAAACUAUGGUGAUGGGAUGACGGAGUAAGUUAAGCACGCGGACUGUUGGAUGUCCGUAGGGUGAUGAGGAUGGCUAAUAGGUAAAUCCGUUAGCGGAAUUCCAGGUCACACUCAAAGGGAAUCUUCGGAGGAACUGAUGGUGUGGAGCAAUGCUCACGAGAAAUAAUCUCUAGCCGUUGAUGGUGACCGUACCAAAACCGACACAGGUGGGUGAGAUGAAUAUUCUUAGGCGCGCGAGAUAACUCUUGUUAAGGAACUCGGCAAAUUAUUCCUGUAACUUCGGGAGAAGGGAAGCCUCCCUCGGUAUUAGUUUUCGCAACGAAAGCUGAGGGAGGCCGCAGAGAAAUGGCCCAGGCGACUGUUUAACAAAAACACAGCACUAUGCAAAGUCGUGUAAGACAAAGUAUAUGGUGUGACGCCUGCCCAAUGCCAAAAGGUCAAAAGGAGGGGUUAGCUUCGGCGAAGCUCCAAAUUUAAGCCCUGGUGAAUGGCGGCCGUAACUAUAACGGUCCUAAGGUAGCGAAAUUCCUUGUCGGGUAAGUUCCGACCUGCACGAAUGGCGUAACGAUCUGGGCGCUGUCUCAACAAGAGACUCGGUGAAAUUGUAGUAGCAGUGAAGAUGCUGUUUACCCGCAAUCAGACGGAAAGACCCCGUGAACCUUUACUGUAGUCUGAUAUUGGCUUGUGACUUGUCAUAUGUAGGAUAACCGGGAGACUUUGAAGAUAUCUCGUCAGGGAUAUUGGAGUCACCCUUGAAAUACCGGUUUUGGCAAGUUGUGAAUCUAACAAUACAUCUUGAAACAGGUGAUUGGACAUUGUCAGAUGGGCAGUUUUACUGGGGCGGUAUCCUCCUAAAAAGUAACGGAGGAGUCCAAAGCUUACCUCAUCGUGGUUGGUAAUCACGAACAGAGCGUAAAGGUAUAAGGUAGGUUAACUGCGAGACGGACAUGUCAAGCAGAUACGAAAGUAGGGCUUAGUGGUCCGGCGAUAGAACGUGGAAUCGUCGUCGCUUAACGGAUAAAAGGUACUCCGGGGAUAACAGGCUUAUCGCCACCAAGAGUUCAUAUCGACGUGGCGGUUUGGCACCUCGAUGUCGGCUCAUC
This 2559-nucleotide ribosomal RNA is filed under the name Chlamydiota bacterium. Its description in RNAcentral is "Chlamydiae bacterium 23S ribosomal RNA". It matches the Rfam family "Bacterial large subunit ribosomal RNA", at positions 3 to 2541 of the family's 2925-position model. Lineage: Bacteria; Pseudomonadati; Chlamydiota. RNAcentral also lists the same sequence under 1 other name. The record is from RNAcentral.